GGAGUGCUGGGCCUGUUGUGACUCUUCAGAGACUGGGAUACAGCAGAAGGAUGGUUAGAGACUGAUUCAUCAGGAUCACAAAGAGUUAGGGUGCUUUAAAGAGCACGCACCAUACUAUGGGCAACCACAGACCGCCAUCUUGAGAAACGGGCUUAGAAGACUCUUCAGACGUUUCUGCUUUGAGACAAGCGGGAGAGAGCGAGCAACACAGAGGCUGAGUCUCCGAAAGAGACGGUAAUAAAUGCUGGAGCAGAAGAGCGGGGCUCUG
Molecule: long non-coding RNA, 268 nt
Filed under: Lepisosteus oculatus (spotted gar)
Lineage: Eukaryota; Metazoa; Chordata; Actinopteri; Semionotiformes; Lepisosteidae
Description: lncRNA (ENSLOCG00000021452.1)
Source: RNAcentral